AAGAGUUGCAAAACUCCCAAACCAUUGUGAACAUACCUUCAACGUUGCUUCGGCGGGUUGGCCCCGGUCUCCGGGGUCCCCGGCCCUACUCGGGCGCCCGCCGGAGGUAUCUAACUCUUGAAAUUGUAUGGCCUCUCUGAGUGAUUUAUAAAUAAGUCA
Molecule: unclassified non-coding RNA, 159 nt
Filed under: uncultured Torula
Lineage: Eukaryota; Fungi; Ascomycota
Description: sequence contains ITS1
Source: RNAcentral